RNAcentral lists this long non-coding RNA (584 nucleotides) under Homo sapiens (human). RNAcentral describes it as "novel transcript". The record is from RNAcentral. Lineage: Eukaryota; Metazoa; Chordata; Mammalia; Primates; Hominidae.
CUGCGAAAGCUGCCAAAAGUGACAUGCAGCACCGAGAAGUCCGCGUGAAGUGCGUGAAGGCUCUGAAAGGGCUGUACGGUAACCGGGACCUGACCGCACGCCUUCACUGGCCGCUUCAAGGACUGGAUGGUUUCCAUGAUCGUGGACAGAGAGUACAGUGUGGCAGUGGAGGCCGUCAGAUUACUGAUACUUAUCCUUAAACUUUUCUACCCUGAGUGCGAGAUAAGAACGAUGGGUGGAAGAGAGCAACGCCAGAGCCCAGGCGCCCAGAGGACUUUCUUCCAGCUUCUGCUGUCCUUCUUUGUGGAGAGCAAGCUCCACGACCACGCUGCUUACUUAGUAGACAACCUGUGGGACUGUGCAGGGACUCAGCUGAAGGACUGGGAGGGUCUGACAAGCCUGCUGCUGGAGAAGGACCAGAGCACGUGCCACAUGGAGCCAGGGCCAGGGACCUUCCACCUCCUAGGGUGAAACCAGGAGAGAUUGCUUGCUUCACUUGUACAAGGAAAUGGAUUGCAUGAUUGUUUUGACCAUUUUUCUUCAUGCUAAAUAAAGUAUGCAGACUUAAGCAUUGAGUUAAGAGA